UACGUAGGCAGCGAGCGUUGUUCGGAGUUACUGGGCGUAAAGAGUGCGUAGGCGGUUUUCUAAGUUUGGUGUGAAAUCUCCCGGCUUAACUGGGAGGGUGCGCCGAAAACUGGAAGGCUUGAGUAUGGGAGAGGUAAGCGGAAUUCCUGGUGUAGCGGUGAAAUGCGUAGAUAUCAGGAGGAACACUUGCGGUGUAGACGGCUUACUGGACCAUAACUGACGCUGAGGCACGAAGGCCAGGGGAGCAAACGGG
RNAcentral lists this ribosomal RNA (253 nucleotides) under uncultured bacterium. RNAcentral describes it as "partial 16S ribosomal RNA". It matches the Rfam family "Bacterial small subunit ribosomal RNA", at positions 524 to 776 of the family's 1533-position model. The record is from RNAcentral.